RNAcentral lists this ribosomal RNA (254 nucleotides) under uncultured bacterium. RNAcentral's name for it is "partial 16S ribosomal RNA". It matches the Rfam family "Bacterial small subunit ribosomal RNA", at positions 524 to 776 of the family's 1533-position model. The record is from RNAcentral.
UACGUAGGGGGCAAGCGUUGUCCGGAUUCAUUGGGCGUAAAGAGCUCGUAGGCGGUUCGGCAAGUCGGGUGUGAAAACUCCAGGCUCAACCUGGAGACGCCACCCGAUACUGCUGUGACUUGAGUCCGGUAGGGGACCACGGAAUUCCUGGUGUAGCGGUGAAAUGCGCAGAUAUCAGCAGGAACACCCGUGGCGAAGGCGGCCACCUGGGCCUAACCUGACGCUGAGGCGCGAAGGCUAGGGGAGCGAACGGG